This 207-nucleotide long non-coding RNA is filed under the name Lathyrus oleraceus (garden pea). RNAcentral's name for it is "Pisum sativum (pea) long non-coding RNA (PSAT_LNC031244)". The record is from RNAcentral. Lineage: Eukaryota; Viridiplantae; Streptophyta; Magnoliopsida; Fabales; Fabaceae.
ACAAAUAUGGCUUCAAAGGCAUCCUCACUCAUGGCCUUCCCAUACAUAGUGGCUUGAGCAAUGAGGAACUCAGAAGGGAGACCUUGAAUUCCACCUUUGGUAGUCAUAAAUGAGAAGUACAAAUAUGGCUUCAAAGGCAUCCUCACUCAUGGCCUUCCCAUACAUAGUGGCUUGAGCAAUGAGGAACUCAGAAGGGAGACCUUGAAU